Molecule: ribosomal RNA, 484 nt
Filed under: uncultured bacterium
Lineage: Bacteria
Description: partial 16S ribosomal RNA
Rfam family: Bacterial small subunit ribosomal RNA
Source: RNAcentral
AUUGAACGCUGGCGGCAUGCCUUACACAUGCAAGUCGAACGGUAACGGGUCCUUCGGGAUGCCGACGAGUGGCGAACGGGUGAGUAAUAUAUCGGAACGUGCCCAGUAGUGGGGGAUAACUGCUCGAAAGAGCAGCUAAUACCGCAUACGACCUGAGGGUGAAAGGGGGGGAUCGCAAGACCUCUCGCUAUUGGAGCGGCCGAUAUCAGAUUAGCUAGUUGGUGGGGUAAAGGCCUACCAAGGCAACGAUCUGUAGUUGGUCUGAGAGGACGACCAGCCACACUGGGACUGAGACACGGCCCAGACUCCUACGGGAGGCAGCAGUGGGGAAUUUUGGACAAAGGGCGCAAGCCUGAUCCAGCAAUGCCGCGUGCAGGAAGAAGGCCUUCGGGUUGUAAACUGCUUUUGUCAGGGAAGAAAUCUUCUGGGCUAAUACCCCGGGAGGAUGACGGUACCUGAAGAAUAAGCACCGGCUAACUACGUG